CAGCCGCCGCGGGAAUACGUAGGGUGCGAGCGUUAAUCGGAAUUACUGGGCGUAAAGGGUGCGUAGGCGGUUAGUUAAGUCUGUCGUGAAAUCCCCGGGCUCAACCUGGGAAUGGCAGUGGAUACUGGCUCGCUAGAGUGUGUCAGAGGAUGGUGGAAUUCCCGGUGUAGCGGUGAAAUGCGUAGAGAUCGGGAGGAACAUCAGUGGCGAAGGCGGCCAUCUGGGACAACACUGACGCUGAGGCACGAAAGCGUGGGGAGCAAACAGGAUUAGAUACCCCCGUAGUCCCUGUCUCUUAUAC
Molecule: ribosomal RNA, 301 nt
Filed under: uncultured bacterium
Lineage: Bacteria
Description: partial 16S ribosomal RNA
Rfam family: Bacterial small subunit ribosomal RNA
Source: RNAcentral